AUGCGCGCGUCAGGUGCUCCGUCCCUUCCAGGUGGCAGAGGAGAGGGAAGGGUCGCGCCUGGUGGGGGCCUGAGAGCCACCGGGCUGCGGUGCGCGAGUGUGGACACCGCCCCGCCUUCUGCGUCUACAGCCCUGGGUUCUGGGACCUUUGGAAACCGCUUUGGACGAAGCUGAGCAUCUCUUUCCCCACGCUGACCUCCCCCAUAGACUCCGGAUGGGAGUAAAUGAGGGUUGCAGUGAGGACCUGGAAGGUCAAGAGACAAGGUAGCCCAGCACCUGGCCCUCAUGCUCCUGGGAAAUCCAGAAACUCUAGAGAAGCUUGUUUGCCAAACCUUGCUUUGGGCGGUGGAGACAGAAUAUCAUGUCCCAGAUCAGCGUGUGGUGACUGUGGAGGCAUUUACACACAGCACACUCCAGCUCUGCCACUGGGCCGGCUGAGGUGGCUGCGGUACACGGCGCCCAUCCUGAGCCCCAGGUUCCUCACAUGUCAACAGCAUGAAAAGUGCCUCUAAGACAUCCACAGGUGUGCAGUGUUAAAGCAGGCAGCGCCUCAGCUUGGUUAGCUCCCUUAAGGACUGCGGCUCCCUUAGGACAAGGCUCUGUCCCUCAGAGCACUGAGUGCGAUCUCAUGCUGGCAUCUUAGAGACAUUGUAUUCACCAGGUAAGAUGGAUUCACAUCUGCUGGGUGCACGAACACUUCCUCCUUCCUUGCCACCAGCCAGCAUCACAACCAGCCUGGCCAGGCUCCCGUCCCAGCCCAGCCUAGCAGCUAACCCCAGCUCCAUCCCCCAGCAAGCCCCUCUGCCUGCACCUCAGCUUCUUCAUGGAAGACGAGUCAGGUCAUGAUGCCACCAGGGAGCGUGUUUCCAUGUUGAACUGAGACACUAAGCCCUUGACAAAUGUUGGCCAAGAAAAAAAAGGGGCUCCAAGAGGGGAGCUGUGGCUCAGGUAGAAGACGGUGAAUGAGCAUUGCCUGAAUCAGAGUUAGCUACUCUGGUUACACAGGUGUCCCCGGCAGGUUGGUCAAAAGCCCUUCCCUGAGUCCCGUGAUAAGUGUGGGGAGGGAGGCAAAUCAAAGACCCCUACACACCUCCUGCAUGGAUGGCCAGAGCGCUGGUCCCACCUCCUUCCUUCCAAACUGCAACCCCGAUCAGCACAGCAGAGAAGUCUCCUGUGGCAGGGACCAGUAAUUCAGUGCUUCCCCUGGAGAGUCUGGGAUUGCACAGAACACCAGAGGCUGGGGAUUUAUUUGUUCACCAACAUUCAUUCAACAAACACUUACUGAGGCCAACACUGGGAAUGGAGACGAACUUCCCUGUCCUCAUGGAGCUUGCUUUCAAAAGGGAAGGAGGCAGACAGUAAACAAAACAAGCAAGUCAAUAUACAGCAUGAUGCAGAAAAGGUGUGAUGCCACCCUCUUGCCUGAGUUUAUAACAAGCAGAUGAUGUUGUCCUAAGAAUUAAUUUCAGCCGGUGAAAGAGUACAGGCAAAAAACGUGGUCUCGGACUUUCCGGUGAUGCUUAAGAACAUAGUUGCAGUUUUUGUUCUGAUUCUUUGUGCAUCUCGCGCUAAUGAAGGAUUCUGCCAUGAUUGCCACCUCUGGAGACGUCACAGCCAGCACAGCCAUGACCAGGGAUGAACUUGGCCAUUGUCCAGCAGCACCAUGGGAGGACCAGCUGCUGUAAGUGAAGGUCAUCAUCCAUCUGAUUUGCUGGCUUUUUGCAACUACUGCGGUGGAAGUCUUAGAGUAGCCACCUUCUCUGUACUCAGACCUUCACUUCGCCAGAUGUCAGCACAGCAGUGUCAGCAGCUUCGUCAAACACAAACACCACCACCUCUCUGGAUCAGAAGCACAUGGAAAGCCCACCUUGCAAGAAGACCCAGCUAUUCCAAAAGUACCCAUAUCCCUGUAGCAUCCUCUUAGCUGAAUGUCUCUACUCCUUAAACUUGUACCACUUUGAAGAGUAAAAAUUUAAAUUCAUUCAUAUUAUCAUUUUUUAGUUUUUAGUAUAAGUGGAGCUGUUUAUCGGCCAUUUGUAUGUCCUUUUCUUUUUUUUGCAAAUUACUCCUUUGCCAAAUUUUCUCUCAAAUGACUCAUCUUUUUCUUAUUGAUUUGCAGAAGCUAUUUACAUAUUAUGGAUGUGGGGUGUCUAACAUACACAGCAAAUACUUUGUCCCAGUGUGUCACUUUUUAAAAAAAUUCUUAUAAUGUCUUUCAUCUUUAAAAAAUUAUUAAGCUAUUGUGAGCUUUUAUGCCUUUUCAGUUUAUUUUCUUACAUAGAUAAUUAUAUGAAGUGCAAAUAGGGGCAGUGUUAGUCUCAUCUUCCCAAGGCUGCACCUCAGAUGUGGAAUGUUGACAGCAACAUCUGUUACCUUGUUUCUGUUUUUAGGAUUUUAGCGUUAAGGCCAGGCAUAAUGGUUCAUGCCUGUAAUUCCAGCACUUUGGGAGGCCGAGGUGGGCAGAUCACUUGAAGCCAGGAGUUCAAGACCAGCCUGGCCAACAUGGAGAAACCCUCUCUAUUUUUAAAUACAUUUAAAAUGUUAACAAUUAAAACAAAAUAUUUUACCGUUAGUAUGAUGCUUGAUACAGGAUUUCUGGUACAUACGCCUUAUCAAAUUAAAUAAGUUUCCUUUUACUCUUGUUUAUUGUUAUUUUUUAAAAUAAGGAAUGAAUCUUGGAUUUUAGUGUAUCAAUAAUUAUAUUUUAUUCUUUAACUUCAUAAUAUUCCUUAUAAUUCCUUAUGUCAUAUUAAAGAUGUAAAUUCAUAUAUAUUUUAUCAUACAAAUGAUUAAUAAAUGUAUAAGCAUGUCAU
This is a long non-coding RNA of Homo sapiens (human), 2813 nucleotides long. Ensembl annotates it as long intergenic non-protein coding RNA 1018. Lineage: Eukaryota; Metazoa; Chordata; Mammalia; Primates; Hominidae. The record is from Ensembl.